Molecule: long non-coding RNA, 1295 nt
Filed under: Homo sapiens (human)
Lineage: Eukaryota; Metazoa; Chordata; Mammalia; Primates; Hominidae
Description: HSALNT0305399
Source: RNAcentral
UGGUUUGGAGGGAGAGAUAGGGUAAAAGGUGAGGUUUGGGGUCAGAGCCUAGGGUCGUUCCAACUUCACAUAUUUCACUUCCAAAACCUCGGUCACUCCCCAGCUCUCACACAAAUUCACUCACUGACACGCACACAUGGAGACUAUUCACGUGGACACGCACACACACUUUCACACCGACACAGCAAAGCGCAACCACACGAGAAUUAGAGAGACAAAACGAACGCAAUUUUUGCGUGCACACUCGGGCACACACUUGGACUCACUCACGCACCCACCCAGAGCCUCUGAGUCACGAACAAACACGCACGCGCGGGGCUACACACUCGUUCCCCUCCCAGCUUUCUGCUGGAGCAGGGGAACAGGGAAGAUGGCCCGAGAAGGCCUUGGCAUUGCAGUGACCCCCUCCCGCCCCCCGCAUCCGAUUCAAUACGAGGAAGGAGGGUCAGUGGGAAAAGAGCCCCGGGACAACCACCCGCACCCCUACAGGAGUCAAAGGGAAGAGAAGGAAGACAGUUAAUUCUGGGACAAGCAAAAAGAACGGUUUUGGAGUCACGGGGGCGUUCCUGCACAAAGGACUUGGAUGUUGUGUUUUUUCUUCUUUUCUGGCGUUUUCCGUUCCCAGCUUUGAAGUCGGGUUCAGACCUCCUGGAGACCACGGACUGAGCGGAGGGGUGGGGGUAGCAGAACCCAGAAGCCGCGCUGGCCCCUCCUCAAUCGCUCCCACACUCUCACAAGCCCAAGGCCAGUCUGUGUGGACACCGAACGCGCCAAGCCGGAUCCAGGCGAGAGCGGCCACUCGGACAGGUGGGGACCAGGGGUGGGAGAGGGUCCCCUAGGCCUGAGAACACCGACCUCGGGGAAUUUUUUGGGGAGUGGGAGGGAGCCAUACAGGGAGAAAAGCAAAAUAAAAAAAUAGAAGAAAAUUCAGGCGUAGACAUUGAAUUAACUCCGGAUUUUUUCUUUUUUUCGGCGAAAGAGAAAGGGGUUAAACCCAAAUUCGGGUCUGGGUUCUGGGGUUUGGGUAGGAUUCAGUGUAAGCAUAAAAAGCGGGAUGUCAGAUUAAAGUGAAGAAAAAUAAAUAGGGAAUUGUAUGUAGUCCUCUUGCUUCCCGGAGCAGCGAAGUCUAAAAUUCUCAGCUCCAGAGGCCUGUCUGGCUGUGUGAUACAGUCCCAGCGAGGUUUGAAAUUCCGAGGGGGGCCAGUGAAGGCUCCUCUUCCCGUAAUCCGAGCCAAGGGGCCCUGCGUCGGGCUCCCGGACAUCCCCGCGCAGCCCGAAGGCCGCCUGCAAACCCG